RNAcentral lists this long non-coding RNA (717 nucleotides) under Helianthus annuus (common sunflower). RNAcentral's name for it is "hypothetical non coding rna". The record is from RNAcentral. Lineage: Eukaryota; Viridiplantae; Streptophyta; Magnoliopsida; Asterales; Asteraceae.
GAGUUUAUCACCACAAAGACCAGCAUCUUCAAGAGCCAUUUCAUGAGCAACAAUGCCAUACCCAAACAAUCAUUAGACACCCGAACCUGUAACGAAGCUACUUGACCCGAAACGAGACCUGAACAACCCGCUGAAACGACACCCGAAAUUGCUAAUUUUGACCGGGUUAACUGUUGACCGUUCCUGAAUCUGAUCCGUAACACUCGAAGCCGUACCGAAUAAAAUCUGAAAUCUGAAUCUAAGCACUAGAACCAAAUUUGAACUUUAACGAAGCUCUGGCGGCAGCCACCACCGCCGUCGGCCAUGUCUGACGACCACCACCAUCAUCACCGCCGGUAAGUCGGUCGCCGGCUCCUCCGAUACGUUUUACCUGAAAAACAGUUGUCGGAAUCAUGCCGCCGCCCUUGCUGCUUCUGUUGCCGUGACAUAGGUUAUCGGUCCCUCUCCUGUUCUCCGAUCUCUCUCUCUCUCUCUCUCUUUGGACAGGGUAGCGGUGUGUGCGACGGGUUAAGAUGAAGAUGGAGCUUGGGGUUGUGUGGGUUGACAUGCCAGCAAGCACGGGACCCCGGUAGCCGGCCGGUAACCGGCACCGGUCGCAAUCAUCGGACAGAGAAAGCAGAGGGGUGAAAGGGGAUGUCGGCUGCUGAUCGUGUUGGAUGUUUUAGGGUAAAUGAUAGCAUGUUACGUUUCAUUCUCAAACUUAAGUGUUGGAAUUAA